Molecule: long non-coding RNA, 1995 nt
Organism: Cairina moschata (Muscovy duck)
Lineage: Eukaryota; Metazoa; Chordata; Aves; Anseriformes; Anatidae
Source: Ensembl
GAUGCUCAGUUUGAGAAGCUUGAGAUAGGGACUGCGUGUCUUGGCAGCUGCAGAGGACAGAAGCAGCAGCCCAUGAUGGUGAAGUCACGCUGAUCUUCUGCUCGCAAUGGUUUGUCACAGUGCCAAGUGGUCACAGCAGGUACAAGUGAAUGGAGAUGAGAAAAUCAGAGCAGCACAGGGAAAACAUAAUUCUGCACAACUGGGACCUGAAAGAAUGCAAUAGAAAUUACAAGAGAGGCUUGCUUUGAAUGGAAAUGUAUUCAACAAACAGUAGCCGUGGCAAGACCUGUAGAGAGAUAUACAUGAAAAGUGAAUUUAGAAACAAAGCAAAAUAAGCUGGACAUAAUGCCAGGAACUAGCUGACCCAGCUGCUUUCUCCCAGACUUGUUUAGAGCAGGGAACAGCUCCAUAAUUCAUACAUCAAGCUGGAAACUGGAAACAGUGCUUGUGGGAAUAAGAUGCUCUGCCAUCCAAGUCGGCUGGAGCCGUGCUCUCAGCAAGGGCCUUCUCCCUCCUGUCGCAUGGCUUCAAGCAGUUGUGCCUUCAUAGGAAGAUGGAGUGUGGACAUAUUUGGAGACAGAGUGCUUGGCCUCUGCAGAGAUGUGAAAAAAUACCUUGUCGUUCAGUCAAGAACUGACUAAUAUAUGGGAUCGUCACCUCCUGGCCAGCUUCUUGCCCAGCCCGUGUGCUCACCAGGGUGCAUGGGACCUCCGGCCCUUCCAUGAGUUCCCUGACCCACUGGGUUCCCUGGGCCACUGAGCCCAGAGCUGGCAGCAGGAUGCUCAAGAUCUCUGUAGAAGGCAAAUGGCAGAAUUAAGAAAAGCAAACAAACGCACAAACAGAUUUUGACUUCCUCACUGUUAUACUGAAUCUUGGAUGACGUCCUCUUGGUUGCAUGUUCCCAAUGACUGUACGAGCAUGUCUGAGAUGAGUAAAUGGCACUAAUGUAGGUAAAAGCUGGUGAAUGUAAAACGUUGGCACUGGAAAUGAAAUCUGGCUUCUGGGGCUCGUUUGUCUCAUUUCUUGAUCUUUUUUUUGCUAGGCAGGUUUAGGCUCAGUCCACGUGGAAACCUCAAGGGGAAGCCAGGGUUAGUUUUCAGUCAGCAGAGUUCUUUUUCAGAAGCUCCCAUAGAUACCCUUUUAAAAUGAGGAAAUAGCAAAACUGUAAGCUGGGAAGUAAAUCCUUGGUCUUUUCCCAAGCAGUCUGGCUGUGUUAGGAUGCCCUAACCUUCAGAUUUGUUCUUCUGUUAAUUCAUUGGCAGAUGACUCUAACACAGAUCAAUCCAAAAAUGAGUUUUUAUUGGAAAAAAAAAAAAAAAAAAAGAAAAAAAAAAGUCCAGAGUAUUGAAAGAUUGUUCAUCUCUGUAGGCAAAACAACCACGUCUACCUUCCGUUUUGAAUAAAUUCAGAUGUUAACUGAAGUGGCCUGGCUUAUUUCCAGUUUACAGUAAUUCUAUUCUGCUUGCCUGAAAUUCUCCUUUUAAUACAACUCUGAUGAAGUGAUUGUCAUCUCUCAACUGCCUGCAGUGGUUGCAAAGUGCUGCAGGAGCAAUAGUGGUUAUGAAAGUGGCAAGGAAAGGGAUUUCUUUAGAGGCAGUGAUAAAACUUUCAAAAGUAUCCUCCUUCUCUGGCAGAAGUCUGUUUCCCUUGAAGAACCUGGGAAUCCCCACAGACAUUCCAUUGAUGGGAGCCAAAGGAAGCCAGCACACGUGGCUUUGAACAUCCUGGUGCUACUCCAGCCCAUUCUACAUGGAUAUGCUGAAGCCAUUUAGACUGCUAGCUGGCUGGAGAGACAUAAGUUAUGUGCAGGAAAAAAACAAAGCUGGAACUCUAAAAAUCAAUGCCAUUGGGUAUGAACAAUGAGGGUAGAUGACAAAGGCAAUUUUAUUCCCACCAUGAUGGCUUGUUUCUAGUUUCCUUCAAUGUCGUAUUUUGCCUAAUGUUUUUCUGGAAGAGAAGUGGCUUGAAAUCUCCCGUGAAAGUGGAGGAGCAGAG